Molecule: ribosomal RNA, 501 nt
Filed under: uncultured Desulfobulbus sp.
Lineage: Bacteria; Pseudomonadati; Thermodesulfobacteriota; Desulfobulbia; Desulfobulbales; Desulfobulbaceae
Description: bacterial SSU rRNA
Rfam family: Bacterial small subunit ribosomal RNA
Source: RNAcentral
GCCCGCUCAGAAACUUAAAGGAAGUUGACGGGGCCCGCACAAGCGGUGGAGUAUGUGGUUUAAUUCGAUGCAACGCGAAGAACCUUACCUGGUCUUGACAUCCCGGAGACCCUUAGGAAACUAGGGGGUGCUUCCAUCUGGAAGAAUCUGGAGACAGGUGCUGCAUGGCUGUCGUCAGCUCGUGUCGUGAGAUGUUGGGUUAAGUCCCGCAACGAGCGCAACCCUUGCCUUUAGUUGCCAGCAGUUCGGCUGGGCACUCUAAAGGGACUGCCGGUGUUAAACCGGAGGAAGGUGGGGAUGACGUCAAGUCCUCAUGGCCUUUAUGACCAGGGCUACACACGUACUACAAUGGCCGAUACAAAGGGCAGCGACACUGCGAGGUGAAGCCAAUCCCGUAAAAUCGGUCUCAGUCCGGAUUGGAGUCUGCAACUCGACUCCAUGAAGUUGGAAUCGCUAGUAAUCGCGGAUCAGCAUGCCACGGUGAGUACGUUCCCGGGCCUU